GAAGAAGGAGGGCGUCAGUUCGUUAGCGCUUCUGUGUGAACCCUGGAUCCCAAGCCCGAGACCACUCCUCAAAACCCACAGAACUCUGGACACUCGUCUGAGACCUUCCCAACCUGCCUCCUGGAAUUCACGGAGCCUCGGAUCCUUUCUCUGCUUAAGCCCUCCUGCCUGAGCUCACCUGCCUGUCCACCCUCUGACACCACCACUGGAGAUCGCCAACCGGACCUGCAUCUUCCGCCUGAAGCCAACAGAAAGAAGGUAGAGGCUCAUAAAACAGGAGGAGGACCUGCACCACCACUCCUGACAAAUGCAGAAGAGAUGGCCAGUCACUCCAGAAGAUUUAAGUGCCUUCA
This is a long non-coding RNA of Fundulus heteroclitus (mummichog), 353 nucleotides long. RefSeq lists it as uncharacterized. The transcript has 3 exons. NCBI's taxonomy places the organism in Eukaryota, Metazoa, Chordata, Actinopteri, Cyprinodontiformes, Fundulidae. The record is from RefSeq and is a predicted model, not a curated record.